Schistosoma rodhaini is the source of this 48-nucleotide non-coding RNA. NCBI's taxonomy places the organism in Eukaryota, Metazoa, Platyhelminthes, Trematoda, Strigeidida, Schistosomatidae. The record is from Rfam.
AUCCAGCUGACGAGUGUCGAAUAGGACGAAACGCGCGUCAAGCUGGAU